RNAcentral lists this long non-coding RNA (341 nucleotides) under Coffea arabica (coffee). RNAcentral's name for it is "long non-coding RNA (CARA_LNC005883)". The record is from RNAcentral. Lineage: Eukaryota; Viridiplantae; Streptophyta; Magnoliopsida; Gentianales; Rubiaceae.
AGAAAAUCAGCAAAAAUGGAGGAAAGAACAAGGUUCAACAAGUCCUUGGUGCCUUUAACCACAGUCUAGGCUUGUGAAGGGGAGGGAAAUGAAGGGAACUACCUUUGAUACCUCGUAAAAACUUGGUAAACGUCGAAAAAAUAGAUCGAAAAAGCUGAGGAGGAAACUGAUGAAUCUUUGGUUUCGGGCUUAAGGAUUGUGAGUGUAGCGAGUUCCAACGUCAAUUUAACAAAUUUCAAGUCGUUUUUUCUUGAUGCUUUCUAAAGAAAAUAUUUCCCUUUACUGACGUAGUUUUCUCAGAAAAAGAAAUCUUCUCACGAGAAGCCUCCUUGAAGCCAAUA